UUAAGUUCAGCGGGUAUUCCUACCUGAUCCGAGGUCAACCAUUGAAGAGUUUUCCGGCCGGAGUACGCCCUGCACCAGAACGAGAUACAAUACUACGUUCAGUUUCAGGGCGCACCCGCCGCUGUCUUUAGGGGGCUGCAGCGCAGGCCCCCAACGCCAGGCAGAGCCUGAGGGUUGAAAUGACGCUCGAACAGGCAUGC
This 200-nucleotide unclassified non-coding RNA is filed under the name Chaetosphaeriaceae sp. Its description in RNAcentral is "partial internal transcribed spacer 2". The record is from RNAcentral. Lineage: Eukaryota; Fungi; Ascomycota; Sordariomycetes; Chaetosphaeriales; Chaetosphaeriaceae.